Long non-coding RNA from Xenia sp. Carnegie-2017, 399 nucleotides. RefSeq lists it as uncharacterized. The record is from RefSeq and is a predicted model, not a curated record. NCBI's taxonomy places the organism in Eukaryota, Metazoa, Cnidaria, Anthozoa, Malacalcyonacea, Xeniidae. The transcript has 4 exons.
UGUCUCUGAAUAAAUUUGAUAGAAGCCAACGAUUGGAUGAAAUAUGAAAACAAAGCAUAUGAUUGGAUGAAACUGAUUAGAAAUAUCACAGACUGCAUUGCGAGAGUUUACUUGUAUCUGCAAUAGCUGACAGAGAGGAUAAGUUUCGUCCUAUAAAAAAACGUAAAAUAAUGUACAUCGCUACUCUCCAGAUUAUUUUCCUUUUUCUAAUAAAAGUCAUCUACUGCAAUUAUAAUGAUGACAAAAAUGCCAUGUUGAAGUUAAAAGACAAAGCAAAAGAAAGUAUUUUAAGAGACAGAAUGUCAAAGUAGCAAGUUGUCGAGGACUUCCAGGACUUCCAGGCAGAGAUGGGCGUGAUGGCAGAGAUGCUUUAUUGCGUGGUCCUCGUGGUAAGCAGGA